AUAAUCAAAGAACAAAAUAACAAUAUAACAAGUUUUUGGUAAGAGUAAACAAUGUCAAAAAAAUUAUCUUGGCUAUCUCAAGUAAAAUUGAGAUCUAACUAAAUGUAAUAGUCUCAAAAUAAAAUCAACUACUUAACUCCUAAUUCAAAUGGAAUUAAAAUCUCCAGUAAAUUUGCAAUAAAUCUUUAUGAAAUCAUCAAUCCAAAAGCCAAGCAUGUUAAAGUUGAUACUUGACCUCAAUUUCCUUAAAAAUUCUGCACAAGAAAUGCACAAAAAAUUUGUAACUAUAUAAUAAUAUAAAUUAGAUUCCAUUAAUUAGAAAAAAAUUGAAUAUCAAAAAUGACUAAUUGAUUUUUUAUAAAAACAAACAAAUUAAGGAAUUGAUGCACAAGCAACAAUUAUAUACAUGAAAUUUUCCUUCUUUCGAAAGAAAAGAAAGAUCUUGUAGUUUUUCAAACAUACCCACUUUUUUUAGUUGUGUCAACUACACUAGUUCCAGUCUUCUUGAUCAUGUUAGUGUGAGAAAAAAACAUUUAAUUCGAUAUUUUGAUACUUUACGAAGUACAAAACUUUACAUUUCAUUGAAUACACAAGUGUGACAAUAUAUCCAGAAUGAAAAUUUAAAAAGGAUGAUAUAUGAUUGCUUCAACAAAAUAAACAUCUGGUGUUGGGAAAAAGAUACAAACAUCCUAUAAUGCAACUAACAGUGUAAUAACAUUUGUAUGCAUUCACCAUUUUAUAUGAAAGUUCAAAACUUCCUUCAAUGCUACUUCUGACUUAUCCAUGUCUAUUUCCCAGGAAAUCAGCAAUUUUUCCAACCUAAAAUAUUAUGAGCAUGCUAAUCAAUAUUGAUAAACUUUAAACCUCAAAGACCCAACUCAAAUCACUUGAAGUUCAUUUUACAAACCACUCCCAUCUUUAUUUGCUGGAAUUUGUGGGAAAAUAGAUGUGCAAAGAAGUAUGGGGAAAAAUUCAAAUAUGGCUAGAGUCAAAUUCUCUGUAUUCAAAGAUACUUUCAAUUUAUUGCACACCAUUUUUCCUUACAUUAGCUGUCCCUCAACCUGGAAAUCAGUGGUAUCAAUUUCUGAAAUUCUAUCCACGACACAAAAGUUACACUUGUCCAAUGGAUCAAAUCUCAAGCUCAAUGGGUCAAACUCAAUACAAAUGGUAGUCCAUUGAGUAAACCAGGCAGAAAUUGGGCUGGGGAAUACUCAAAAAUUCAAGAGGGGAAAUGUUCUUUGCUUAUGAAGUUCCACUAGGGAAAGGAACUAACAAACUAACAAAAAUGGAGAUUGCCCUGUUUUGUAUGACCUGGUGCUAACAAUUGGAUUACAAUCAGGUAAUUCUGGAGGUUGAUACCAACUUCUUGUGGAUUGGAUCAAGAGUAAUUAUAACCAUCCGUAGAGCAUUAUUUCUCAAGUACAAAGGUUGCACAACAUCAUCCAAAAAAUCCAAAAAUUUGAAUGCAUACACACUCUCAGGUUAGUCAAUGUUGCAGCUAACACUCUCUCAAAAUAGAUUCAUCAGAUUUCUAGCUUUAUUUAAACAUAAAACAGUUACCAAAGGAAACAACAACAUAUUAUCAACUAGACAAAGUGGAAAUGGAAAGUUUCAGAAGAAGAAAACUGAGAAGUAUAAAAGAACCUCCCUGAAGUGGCACUUGGUGAUCUGUACAGAAGUCUCUAUACAAUGUUUGGUAAUCUCAUCCUAGUAACUACGCUGUAUCUUUAUUUGAUACAGCUUACUUGAAUAGGCCUAGGUUUUUCUUUUCUCUCUUCUUUGUAAGGGGAGUGUCUCCCUUAUUUUAUGCUUACUAGUAAUAUUUUAUCGAGAGGAGUCCUCUCAUUUAGGUGCAUAACUUGUAGGCUUCUUUAUAGAAAAAAGGGAGGAGUUGACUAUCCUUAGUAGGAAGGUCAACUUAUGAAGCACCAUAGGAUCGGAGGUAAGAUUCUAUGUCCCCUUCCUUGUACCUUUUUGCUAUUUUAUUUAUGCUAAGGUCUGGGGGUGUUGCUAAGCCCUUGAACCCCAAAGGGCCGUUCAAAUAAAAAAACCCACUUGAACUGAUCCCUUCAUAUGUAUAUAUGUUCGCAUACCUUGAUAAAAGAAAUAGUCAACUUCAAUUUUCAUCCCAAAAAUUCAAAAAAAUUGUGAGCAAAUUUUAUAGACCAAAAGUAAAGCAUAAGUUUGAGAACUUUAUCAAGGUUAUUUUUGAAGGUAUAAUUAUCAAAGAAGAAAAAAAGUAAAGCAUAAGAUUAAGCUCACCAAUCUCAGUUGAGACUGAAUACUAUAUAUAAUAUUAGGGGCAAUCAAAUUACACAUUCAUAGAAAGCAAAGACAAAAAUGUGUAGAAUUCAAAUAUUCAAAUGCUUCACUUGUCAAGUCAAUAUCAUAUAUCUAUUUGACUAAUUUUGGACUGGAUUAUGGUCCUUUUUUCAAAUUUGGACAAGAAAAUGAAGAAGUUGGUUGUGAAAGUUCCUAGUAAAGAUAAUGUUGACAGUUUUACAGAAUGCGCUAAUGCUUACUACUUGAAACGGCCACAUCAUCUGGGAUUACUUCAAAAUUGUAUGGCAACUAUCUCUCAUUGGAAGAUCGCUAUUGCAGCACUCGCCAAGAACCAUCAUCGUCAAAAUUCCUUUCCAACUCCAUCCUCCCAUUUUGAUCAUGAUAAUGAUGAUCAAUUUAACAAGGAAGAGAACAAUGGAUCGGAUAUUGUCGAUUCUUAUGUUGAGAGUUCAUUAUUAUAUCAAACUCAAUUCCCAUCAACACAAGCUAAAUUUGAACCUGACAUGAUCAUCGCAGACUUGAUGGUGAUCAGAAGUGUCGACUAUGAAAUCAUCCUACACUAGCUUAGUCAAGUAAGAUAGAGUUGCAUGAAAUCUCAUUGGAGUUGUUGGAAUCAGAGAGGUUGAUCUUGUUAAAUGAGAGCACGAUAUUAAAAUACAAAGUGGCUUCAUUGAUGGAGGAGAAUAAGGGGUUGUCUUCAGAGUCGUUGUUCAUGAAGAGGAAGGUGGAUAAGCUUCCCAGGUUCAUGCUAAACAGAACGGAUGAUCAUAGAAUUUGUAUGCUUAGUCGAAAACUUUAGGAUCUUCAAGGUCAGAUUUAUUGGAUUGGAGAGGAGAAGCAAUGAGUAUUAUAAGCAGCUAAUGCAACAUGCAGAAAAAAAGGAGAAGGUCCAAGAGGGGGUUGAAGGGUUGCUUUUAAAGUGCCUGAAGAGGCUGCUGUUGGCAAUGUCAAAAAGGGUGAGAAGCAGAAAAUAGUCGGUGUUGAAGUUGGAAGGAAAUUUCUAUGUUUUGGGACAGGGUUAAAAAGCUUGAUAUCUUCCUUUGUGCACCUAUUGUAGACAUCAGAAAAAGAGGGUGUUUCUACUUAAAGUUUACUGCAUAAAAAAGAUUACCUUUAUCACCACGAGAAACAUGUAUGCUUAUGAAGGCCCAUACAGAGCCAUCAUAAGCAUACAUUUUUGUCUUGGCUUAAAAUGUUGCUGCGGAAGUGCUAGUACUUGAAGAACUCUUUUGGCAUACCAAAAUCCUUUGUAUUGGUGAAGAUGUUCACUCAGCCAACCUCUAUCUUUUGGUAGUUCAGGGAGUAUUAUGUCAGAGGAUUUGCUGAUCUUUGUGGCUUUGUUCUUUGGUGAUACCAGUUGUGAGUAAGAGGAUAGAGAAUAAACUUGUCAUUAUUGAGUUUAAUGGAGAAAAGACAGUAGUAGAAAGUAGUAAAUAUUUGACUAGAACAUAGUGUUUCUACUCAAAGUUUGUUGCAUAAUAAAGAUUAGCUUUAUCAUCACGAGAAACAUGUAUGCUUAUGAAGGCACAUACACAGGCAUCAUCCUACCCUUUUUGUUCUUAAUUAAAUACGGGGGAAGAAAAAUAUGAUGGGAGAAGCACUAAAUUUGAAGUUUACUUGACCACCCCAAUGAAUCUAGCUUGUUAAUAUCAGAAAAGAAGCAACUUUUAGCUACAUGACAGAACACAAUAUAAUGGUCAGCAAGUAGAAAGUUUCUCACAAUCCUUUCUUGUAAUGAUCUUAUCUAAGUAAAUUUCCUUUUAUCUCUUUUUAAGUACUUCUGAUAGUUAAAAGACUUAUAUCCCCCCCCCCCCCAAAAAAAAUCACAUUUCCCAAAAAUGAGAUAAGAGAAAUUACUUAAUUAAAAAAAUAUUUAUUAUUGUAAGAACCCAUUCUUAGAUCCCACUCGUCGGAUCACACUAUGUAUGUUGUUGUUUAUUAUAAGAACUCAUCUUACAAUAAGCUAAAAUCUCAAGCACACAGAUUAUAUAGCACACAAUAAACAAUAUAAGUCCUUAUAAAAUUUACAUAUUCAGUUAAAUUAUUUCCUUUUCCAGAUGGAAAUGACCCAAUCUCUAGAACUAACCAACUAUUCAUGUUAGUGGUAAACUAUUAUGCUCAAGUUUGCCAGGCCUCUAUCCCUCUUCAUAUUUUCUUUGUGAUAAACCCUACCAAUUGCCACCUUUAAACAAAUUAAUAGAAUCAUGGAUAACUACUUCUGAGUGAAACUGGGUGGAAGAAACACCACUGGAUAGCAUAGGAUGAUUUGUGUUACCCCUACUCAUAGGGGGAUAGGAAUCAGGAAGAUCCAAAGUUCUUGUGAUUCAUUUUUGGUGAAGAAUCAAUGGAAUUUUAGAACUAACAACUCACUUCUUAGAGAAUUCCUUGAAGCCAGAUACUAUAAAAGAUUACAUCUCGUGGCUCGAAAAAGAUCUUAUAAUUAAUCUCAAUCUUGGAGAAGACUUAUGAAAAUAAAAAAAAUUGUUAAGCAAAUAUCUUAUAGAGUAUUGAAAAGGUUAAUGUGUCCUUCUGGUAGGAUAGGUUGACUGAUCAAAUGGAAGCACUUACUAAUAUGUCUUUUGAGGACGCUAAAAUCAAAAAUAUCAAAGUGCAACUAAUUUCACAAAAGACAAUAAAUGGGAUGCGGAAGCUCUUGGGGGAAUAAUUCUUGACAGUUAAAUGUACAACAUCACUGAUAUUCAUAUUCACAGGGGCACAAAGAUAAACAUCUUGAAAAAAAAACUGAAAAUGGUGAUUUUAGCUGCAAAUCAUAAAGUUUAAACAACCUACUCUUAGUGUUAAUUUUUAUUUGGCAUUCUGAAAUUCCUUUUAAAGUUUCUUUCUUUAUGAUAAAUUUACUGAAAAAAGCUAUUGCUAUUGAUAAUAUGAACAAGAAGCUUCAAGUUACAGGUCCUUCAAUCGAUAUUUUUUUUAAAAUCGUAUUACUUCAGCACACUAAUUUUACCUAAUUGCUUGAUUUAAACAAAUCUUGUAAUGAAUAAGCACCAUGGAACUACUUGAAUCACACAAAAGAUAAAACUACAUCCCCAUAUUAUCAAAAAAUAUGAUAGGCAGAUCGAUAUGACUCAAGCGCUACUGACAAAAUAAUAGGUAGAUAUGAAACUACUAAAGUCUCAAAACGAAGUUCUGAACUCUAUAUCAAUGUUCUGCCAACAGUUUGCCUUCUUUUUCUCAUACUCUUCUAACUACAAAUCAAUGUUUUUAACGGGUAGAUAGAAUAUAUGAAGUACUUCAAAAAUACUAAAAGAUAGUACUAACGCACAAAUUUUAGUGAUAGUCUUUAAGUAAUUGAAAUCAAAUUGAUCUAUAUCUUCAAUUAUCAUAUAGCAAAACCAAAAUUGAAGGAAAAAACUUGCCUCAAUCGAAAUCAAAAAAGACAUUGAAAGGAUCGAAUCCCUACAAACUUUGAAUGACAAAGGGAAGUACAAAGAGGGAAGCCCAAAAUACUAGCCGCCAAAUUAUUUUCCUAUCCAAAUGUUGUAUUCCAUAAUUUUUUGCUCCAAAUCUACGAGCUCCAUAUUUUCAGUAGCAAUAGGG
This 5841-nucleotide long non-coding RNA is filed under the name Solanum lycopersicum (tomato). Its description in RNAcentral is "long non-coding RNA (SLYC_LNC000630)". The record is from RNAcentral. Lineage: Eukaryota; Viridiplantae; Streptophyta; Magnoliopsida; Solanales; Solanaceae.